This 497-nucleotide ribosomal RNA is filed under the name uncultured bacterium. RNAcentral describes it as "partial 16S ribosomal RNA". It matches the Rfam family "Bacterial small subunit ribosomal RNA", at positions 28 to 507 of the family's 1533-position model. The record is from RNAcentral.
GAUGAACGCUGGCGGCGUGCCUAAUACAUGCAAGUCGAGCGAACGGACGAGAAGCUUGCUUUUCUGAUGUUAGCGGCGGACGGGCGAGUAACACGUGGAUCACCUACCUAUAAGACUGGGAUAAUUUCGUGAAACCGGAGCUACUACUGGAUAAUAUUUUGAACCGCAUGGUUCAAAAGUGAUAGACGGUCUUGCUGUCACUUAUAGCUGGAUCCGCGCUGCAUUAGCUAGUUGGUAAGGUAACGGCUUACCAAGGCAACGAUGCAUAGCCGACCUGAGAGGGUGAUCAGCCACACUGGAACUGAGACACGGUCCAGACUCCUACGGGAGGCAGCAGUAGGGAAUCUUCCGCAAUGGGCGAAAGCCUGACGGAGCAACGCCGCGUGAGUGAUGAAGGUCUUCGGAUCGUAAAACUCUGUUAUUAGGGAAGAACAUAUGUGUAAGUAACUGUGCACAUCUUGACGGUACCUAAACAGAAAGCAACGGCUAACUACGUG